RNAcentral lists this ribosomal RNA (300 nucleotides) under uncultured Streptomyces sp. RNAcentral describes it as "bacterial SSU rRNA". It matches the Rfam family "Bacterial small subunit ribosomal RNA", at positions 497 to 795 of the family's 1533-position model. The record is from RNAcentral. Lineage: Bacteria; Bacillati; Actinomycetota; Actinomycetes; Kitasatosporales; Streptomycetaceae.
GACACGACGGGCGUGGGGCCGCGGUGAUGCUGGGGGUGCGAGCGUUGUCGGGAUGCAUUGGGCGGAAAGAGGGCGUAGGCGGUUCAGUAGGUCGGGUGUGAAAUCUCCGGGCUCAACACGGAGCGGCCACCUGAGACUGCUGUGAGUCGAGGCCGGUAGGGGAGUGUGGAAUUCCCGGUGUAGCGGUGAAAUGCGCAGAUAUCGGGAGGAACACCAGGAGCGAAGGCGGCACUCUGGGCCGUGACUGACGCUGAGGAGCGAAAGCGUGGGUAGCAAACAGGAUUAGAUACCCGUGUAGUC